AACAGUUUUCCCAGCUGCUUUUGUCAGGAAAUCUGUCCUUGCCUUUUGUCCUGGGGCAUUUCCGAUUUCAGCAGUAUUAUUUGUAUUAAUAAUUAUUAUUAUUCUUAUAUUGUUGACAGUAAUACCAAGAGUGCUUGUUUCAGGUUUCUACUGUUUUCUCAGAGGUCAAGAGACAGGACUCUGGGACUUCAGUCAAUUCUAGACAGCCUGAGGCUUGCACAGAGAUCUGGAAUCAGGAAAGAAAGAGCUAGAGGCCAGAUUGGAGAAGACAUUAGAUGAAGACAUUUGAAGACCAAGAAAGUGAAUGGGCAGGAGCCAAGAGUGACUUUGAGAGGCAGUAGUAAGAAAGAACAGCAGAAACAGUAUCAAGACUUCUUGAGACGAGGAUGAGAAACCUGAAGAAGGAACAACUGGAACUGACUAUCUGGGAAGGUACAAAUAAACAAGAAGCAGAACUGGGUCA
RNAcentral lists this long non-coding RNA (463 nucleotides) under Cyanistes caeruleus (blue tit). Its description in RNAcentral is "lncRNA (ENSCCEG00000017531.1)". The record is from RNAcentral. Lineage: Eukaryota; Metazoa; Chordata; Aves; Passeriformes; Paridae.